GUCUACAGUCAUGCCACCCUGAAUAAACCCAAUCCCGUUUGAUCUUGGAAGGUAAAUAGUGUCAGAUCUGGUUAGUACUUGGAUGGGAGACCACCUAGAAAGACCAGGUGCUGUAGGCA
Molecule: non-coding RNA, 119 nt
Organism: Pteropus alecto (black flying fox)
Lineage: Eukaryota; Metazoa; Chordata; Mammalia; Chiroptera; Pteropodidae
Source: Rfam